Molecule: ribosomal RNA, 500 nt
Filed under: uncultured bacterium
Lineage: Bacteria
Description: bacterial SSU rRNA
Rfam family: Bacterial small subunit ribosomal RNA
Source: RNAcentral
ACAACGCUGGCGGCGUGCUUAACACAUGCAAGUCGAACGGAGAAUUUAUUUCGGUAAAUUCUUAGUGGCGAACGGGUGAGUAACGCGUGGGCAACCUGCCCUUCAGAUGGGGACAACAUCCCGAAAGGGGUGCUAAUACCGAAUACGAUCACGCUGCCGCAUGGCGGUGUGAUGAAAGAUGGCCUCUAUAUAUAAGCUAUCGCUGAAGGAUGGGCCUGCGUCUGAUUAGCUAGUUGGUGGGGUAACGGCCUACCAAGGCGAUGAUCAGUAGCCGGUCUGAGAGGAUGAACGGCCACAUUGGGACUGAGACACGGCCCAAACUCCUACGGGAGGCAGCAGUGGGGAAUAUUCCGCAAUGGACGAAAGUCUGACGGAGCAACGCCGCGUGAGUGAUGAAGGUUUUCGGACUGUAAAACUCUGUUGUUUAGGACGAAAGUGCCUGUUGCAAAUAGUUGCAGGUAUUGACGGUACUGAACGAGGAAGCCACGGCUAACUACGUG